GACGAACGCUGGCGGCGUGCUUAACACAUGCAAGUCGAACGAAGAGCGAUGGAAGCUUGCUUCUAUCAAUCUUAGUGGCGAACGGGUGAGUAACGCGUAAUCAACCUGCCCUUCAGAGGGGGACAACAGUUGGAAACGACUGCUAAUACCGCAUACGAUCCAAUCUCGGCAUCGAGACUGGAUGAAAGGUGGCCUCUAUUUAUAAGCUAUCACUGAAGGAGGGGAUUGCGUCUGAUUAGCUAGUUGGAGGGGUAACGGCCCACCAAGGCGAUGAUCAGUAGCCGGUCUGAGAGGAUGAACGGCCACAUUGGGACUGAGACACGGCCCAGACUCCUACGGGAGGCAGCAGUGGGGAAUCUUCCGCAAUGGACGAAAGUCUGACGGAGCAACGCCGCGUGAGUGAUGACGGCCUUCGGGUUGUAAAGCUCUGUUAAUCGGGACGAAUGGUUCUUGUGCAAAUAGUGCGAGGAUUUGACGGUACCGGAAUAGAAAGCCACGGCUAACUACGUGC
RNAcentral lists this ribosomal RNA (511 nucleotides) under uncultured Veillonella sp. RNAcentral's name for it is "bacterial SSU rRNA". It matches the Rfam family "Bacterial small subunit ribosomal RNA", at positions 28 to 508 of the family's 1533-position model. Lineage: Bacteria; Bacillati; Bacillota; Negativicutes; Veillonellales; Veillonellaceae. The record is from RNAcentral.